UACAGAGGGUGCGAGCGUUAAUCGGAAUUACUGGGCGUAAAGGGCGCGUAGGCGGUAUAUUAAGUGAGAUGUGAAAUCCCUGGGCUUAACCUAGGAAUGGCAUCUGAGACUGGUAUGCUAGAGUGCGGUAGAGGAUAGUGGAAUUUCCGGUGUAGCGGUGAAAUGCGUAGAUAUCGGAAGGAACACCAGUGGCGAAGGCGGCUAUCUGGACUGACACUGACGCUGAGGCGCGAAAGCUAGGGGAGCAAACAGG
RNAcentral lists this ribosomal RNA (253 nucleotides) under uncultured bacterium. RNAcentral's name for it is "partial 16S ribosomal RNA". It matches the Rfam family "Bacterial small subunit ribosomal RNA", at positions 524 to 776 of the family's 1533-position model. The record is from RNAcentral.